AGAGUUUGAUCCUGGCUCAGGACGAACGCUGGCGGCGUGCCUAAUACAUGCAAGUCGAACGAACUCUGGUAUUGAUUGGUGCUUGCAUCAUGAUUUACAUUUGAGUGAGUGGCGAACUGGUGAGUAACACGUGGGAAACCUGCCCAGAAGCGGGGGAUAACACCUGGAAACAGAUGCUAAUACCGCAUAACAACUUGGACCGCAUGGUCCAAGUUUGAAAGAUGGCUUCGGCUAUCACUUUUGGAUGGUCCCGCGGCGUAUUAGCUAGAUGGUGGGGUAACGGCUCACCAUGGCAAUGAUACGUAGCCGACCUGAGAGGGUAAUCGGCCACAUUGGGACUGAGACACGGCCCAAACUCCUACGGGAGGCAGCAGUAGGGAAUCUUCCACAAUGGACGAAAGUCUGAUGGAGCAACGCCGCGUGAGUGAAGAAGGGUUUCGGCUCGUAAAACUCUGUUGUUAAAGAAGAACAUAUCUGAGAGUAACUGUUCAGGUAUUGACGGUAUUUAACCAGAAAGCCACGGCUAACUACGUGCCAGCAGCCGCGGUAAUACGUAGGUGGCAAGCGUUGUCCGGAUUUAUUGGGCGUAAAGCGAGCGCAGGCGGUUUUUUAAGUCUGAUGUGAAAGCCUUCGGCUCAACCGAAGAAGUGCAUUGGAAACUGGGAAACUUGAGUGCAGAAGAGGACAGUGGAACUCCAUGUGUAGCGGUGAAAUGCGUAGAUAUAUGGAAGAACACCAGUGGCGAAGGCGGCUGUCUGGUCUGUAACUGACGCUGAGGCUCGAAAGUAUGGGUAGCAAACAGGAUUAGAUACCCUGGUAGUCCAUACCGUAAACGAUGAAUGCUAAGUGUUGGAGGGUUUCCGCCCUUCAGUGCUGCAGCUAAC
RNAcentral lists this ribosomal RNA (884 nucleotides) under Lactiplantibacillus plantarum. RNAcentral describes it as "bacterial SSU rRNA". It matches the Rfam family "Bacterial small subunit ribosomal RNA", at positions 8 to 856 of the family's 1533-position model. The record is from RNAcentral. Lineage: Bacteria; Bacillati; Bacillota; Bacilli; Lactobacillales; Lactobacillaceae.